AUCAUGGCUCAGGAUGAACGCUAGCUACAGGCUUAACACAUGCAAGUCGAGGGGCAGCAUGUUGGUGCUGCAACCAAUGAUGGCGACCGGCGCACGGGUGAGUAACGCGUAUCCAACCUUCCCCUUAGUAGAGGAUAGCCCGGCGAAAGUCGGAUUAACACUCUAUGUUGUAUUUUGAUGGCAUCUGACGAAUACCAAAGAUUUAUCGCUAAGGGAUGGGGAUGCGUCUGAUUAGGUUGCAGGCGGGGUAACGGCCCACCUGGCCUACGAUCAGUAGGGGUUCUGAGAGGAAGGUCCCCCACACUGGUACUGAGACACGGACCAGACUCCUACGGGAGGCAGCAGUGAGGAAUAUUGGUCAAUGGGCGCGAGCCUGAACCAGCCAAGUAGCGUGCAGGACGACUGCCCUAUGGGUUGUAAACUGUCUUUUAUCAGGGAAUAAAGUGAGGCACGCGUGCCUUUUUGUAUGUACCUGAUGAAUAAGGACCGGCUAAUUCCGUGCCAGCCGCCGC
RNAcentral lists this ribosomal RNA (512 nucleotides) under uncultured bacterium. RNAcentral's name for it is "bacterial SSU rRNA". It matches the Rfam family "Bacterial small subunit ribosomal RNA", at positions 16 to 518 of the family's 1533-position model. The record is from RNAcentral.